GGGCCUGUGGCGGAAUGGUAGACGCUGCGGACUUAAAAUCCGUUGUCCUUCGGACGUGAGGGUUCAAGUCCCUCCAGGCCCACCA
RNAcentral lists this transfer RNA (85 nucleotides) under Alphaproteobacteria bacterium. Its description in RNAcentral is "tRNA-Leu". It matches the Rfam family "tRNA". From Rfam's summary of the family: Transfer RNA (tRNA) molecules are approximately 80 nucleotides in length. Their secondary structure includes four short double-helical elements and three loops (D, anti-codon, and T loops). Further hydrogen bonds mediate the characteristic L-shaped molecular structure. tRNAs have two regions of fundamental functional importance: the anti-codon, which is responsible for specific mRNA codon recognition, and the 3' end, to which the tRNAs corresponding amino acid is attached (by aminoacyl-tRNA synthetases). tRNAs cope with the degeneracy of the genetic code in two manners: having more than one tRNA (with a specific anti-codon) for a particular amino acid; and 'wobble' base-pairing, i.e. permitting non-standard base-pairing at the 3rd anti-codon position. The record is from RNAcentral. Lineage: Bacteria; Pseudomonadati; Pseudomonadota; Alphaproteobacteria. RNAcentral also lists the same sequence under 1 other name.